AAAACGACUCUCGGCAACGGAUAUCUCGGCUCUCGCAUCGAUGAAGAACGUAGCGAAAUGCGAUACUUGGUGUGAAUUGCAGAAUCCCGUGAACCAUCGAGUCUUUGAACGCAAGUUGCGCCCGAAGCCUAGGCCAAGGGCACGUCUGCCUGGGCGUCUCAC
This 162-nucleotide ribosomal RNA is filed under the name Fouquieria columnaris (boojum tree). RNAcentral describes it as "5.8S ribosomal RNA". It matches the Rfam family "5.8S ribosomal RNA". Rfam says of the family: 5.8S ribosomal RNA (5.8S rRNA) is a component of the large subunit of the eukaryotic ribosome. It is transcribed by RNA polymerase I as part of the 45S precursor that also contains 18S and 28S rRNA. Functionally, it is thought that 5.8S rRNA may be involved in ribosome translocation. Lineage: Eukaryota; Viridiplantae; Streptophyta; Magnoliopsida; Ericales; Fouquieriaceae. RNAcentral also lists the same sequence under 2 other names. The record is from RNAcentral.